ACAUACACAAAAUGAGUCUUGGUUAUAGAAGAUUUUUACUGAGGUGGCUCAAAGAGAACUCAAUCAGUUUGCAUCAGUUCUAAAGGCAGUGACCAGGGUUCUAUAAAAUGAGGUAGCAUUUAGGAGCUGUCAGCUGUAUAAUUUUGGCAUUGCAUUUGGUGUACUGUAGUAGCACCACAUGGGUGUAUGUUGUCUGUCUUAAACAAAAACAAAACAAAAGCUGCAAUUGCUACCAACGCAAGGCAUCCCUCUGGCCCUACCAGAACCAUGUGGAAAGCAGUUUUAUGGCUUUGAAAGCCAGACUCCUGGGAUCUUUUUCAGUCUGUCUUAUAUUUCCAAUGGGUUUCUGUAGCACAAACUGGUUUCUCAGGGAGCUGAGCAGUCCAAAUCACACUAUUAUUUUUAAAUGAUUGUUUGCUGGAAAGGUCCCUGACCCAUGGAUGACUGAGCGUGCCAACUUCAAGGCAAGAGUAUCUUUUCUAUUCCCACCCAAUAAGCUGCUGCAGGAAAGGUAUGCAGUGAUAGACUUGGAUUAUGUGUCCAGUCCUUUUUUAGGGGCUUUCCGGAUGCCUUUCCUGAGAUUAUAAUACAGCAAGUAACCAAGAUAUUAAGAAAAUUACAUUUCCCUUCAGGAAAUUAUUGCCAUUAGUCCUAUUAGCAAUCAAGUUUUGUUUUCCCAUCACAUUAUAAGCAUCUUAAGAAACAAAAAUAAUAUUUUGGUUUUAAAAUUCCUUGCUCGUUCUUAGGAGUCCUAUCUCAAAUUCUUACUUGGAUUUCUCCCCAGAAGCUGUGUCACUGUCUUGUUUUUGUUUGCUUUAUAAAGUGAAGAGGGUCCAUUCUGCAUCCAACCAAUGGUUUUUUCGAAAUGAUUUUAGCUUAAAGCAGCAAACGUUCACUGCAGAUGAAGUAUCAGAGUCAUAUCAAUCUCCAUUGUUUCAUAAAAUGCAUAACAGCACUGAAAUGCAACUCCUAGAGAAAGAUAAUUGUACUCAAGUCCCACUGAAAUUAUGAUUUUAAGUGUAAAAAAAGUAUCUGCGUUUGAGUCUGCAAGUUUACUGAUCUGUAAUGGAUUGCAAACAAAUCCACAGCAUAUACUGCUUUAGCACCAUUACAGACUAGGGCAUUUUGCUUUCCUAUAUACCAGAAAGACAACACUGCUAUGUUUUUAAACAAACCUUUUUUUAAAAAAAAAUUGCUCUAAUUUUAAAAAAGGGAAUUAACAAAUGUUUAACAUCUUUUCCUGUUAGUAUCUGUUUUAAAAAUGUGUUUUCUUUUUUCCUAUCUCUUACUGGUCCUGCUGGAAGCAUAGUUUUCUCCAUCUCUCCUUUCUACUUCACUGUUUGGUUGUUUAAACCAACUAAAACCUUAUUGGUAACUCUAAUAAAACCGGCUACGGUAUGGUGCCAUUUCUCCUGGUGACAUGAGGAUGUCCCUAAACAGUCAUUGAAUAGGAAAAAAGGCAGGUGUUCUGUUCUGGUGGAGUUCAGCACUUGAAAUUUGCGUGGUAGUUUCCUGCUGGUUAUUCUGUCAACUUUAAAGGAAACUAAAACUCAGUCAACACAACCAAUCCUUACCUGUAAAUUGUUGUACAUCUGUCUACAGAGUGAAAGUGGCUGAGCACUUUUCCAUACCCAGAUUUUGUUAGUUUAGGAUGGUGUGAGAUGAAGGGAUAAAAUCAUACUAAACAUGCACAGAAUAGCAAUUUGGCUGCAUGACAUAAUGCUUAUACAACAGUUUGCUGUAUACCAAGUGUUUUGCAUUUCUAUACCAAAUCUUAGGCUUAAACUCUGCUUACAUGAAUCAAAUUGGCAUAACAGGGAGCGAGUUCUUCAAGACUGCACGUCAUCAUUCUCAUUUAGUCUUAAACUCAUCCAUAAAAAACUAGAAAGAAAGUCUGCCCUGGGGGUGGGCUCUCAGUAUGGGGUUCCCCCCCCAGAUGAUGAUGGUGAUUUGCAGUGCUAGGAAGAGAGACCAAAUUGGUAGCCUUGACCUUUUGCUCCUGAGAAAAUUUAUCUGCCUCCACUGAUAAAACUGACCCAGUCCUUCAUACAUUCUUGCUACAAAUGCAAGAAAGGGCAAACUACUCAGCAUAGGUUUUUGUUUGGUUUUUUUAAUUGUGAAAUGGUACCAGGCACACAUUUUAUGUAGUUAUCAUUUCAGUUUUGCUAUGACCAUACAGGAAAGACUUUUCAUCUAAAAGAGACAUGGCUUUGGUCCAUAAAGGCCCCUCCUUAGUAGGCAGCAGCAGUAGAAGCCACUAUGUUAGGUCCUCCAAAGAUAGAAUUUCAGAAUAAGGAGAAUGAUGGCCAUGUAGUAUUCAAAAUAUGUUCCAAGUUUUGUAGAGUUCCAUACUGUAUUUUAAGUUCACUUUUGCGUUCUCCUAAAACCUAUGUCAGGGACAAGGUAGUCACCAACCACAAUCCUAACCAUAUCUACUCAGAUGUUAGUCCUGUUAGAUUCAGUGGGACUUAUUCCCAGAUAAAUGAUGUUAGGAUUACGGCCUUAGUUUAUCUCUGCCAGAAUUCAUUGUAACCUUUCCCCCAUUUUCUCUUGUGGCUGUGUCAUGUGGUGAGCAUUCCAUAAUUUCCUCAAGCAACCCUUUUAUUGGCUUAACUAAUUCUUCCUCUUCUCACUACAUCUUUGCUCAGUUACUCUUGUUUAUCAUCAAAUUGCCCACUAAUCAUAGAACUUUGCUGAAGAUGCCUGACAAUGUUGUGUCAUGUGUCUGCUGUGGUUUGGAAACUUGAACUUCUACAGGUGGAUGUUCAAGCAAUUUCCUGUUUUGCAAUCCUGUAGAUCUGUAGACUAUUUUUAGUUUUAUAUCUGUUGGAACAUCAAGAUAACUGCAUCUACCUCAGUAUUAAGUGGCUAUCAUUUUGUUUUUGAACAUAGCCAUUUGAUGUUCAUUUCCAUGCUCUAAACUAAAUUGGCUCUUUUCUAAAGUUCUAUUCCAUGCUGAACUAAAACCUCUGUUGUAUUGUUCCAAGCUGUUUGCACUAGCCCAAACUCUGUAGUACCUAGAUUAGGUUAUGCUAAGGAUACUCUUAUAAAAGAAAAAGAAGUGACUUCUAAGUCCUCUUUGGUAUUUGACACUGAAGUGGUAAUUUUUUUGCUUCAUCAGAAAGAAAG
Molecule: long non-coding RNA, 3129 nt
Organism: Lacerta agilis (Sand lizard)
Lineage: Eukaryota; Metazoa; Chordata; Lepidosauria; Squamata; Lacertidae
Exons: 2
Source: RefSeq, a predicted model, not a curated record